Molecule: non-coding RNA, 288 nt
Organism: Vicia faba (fava bean)
Lineage: Eukaryota; Viridiplantae; Streptophyta; Magnoliopsida; Fabales; Fabaceae
Source: the annotation of a GenBank genome assembly
AUGGGCAUGAAGUCUGAAUCGCAUUCCUUCCCUUCUGUUAGUGGGGAUUUUAAACCAAAAGUCAUCUUUUUGAAUGAUGAUUCAAAAACGGAAGGUUCUUCUGGAGAAUAUCUUUCAAACGGAGUUCUUUCUAGGGAUUCCUUGGAGACUCUGUUUCCAGCUAAGCCCGAUGGGGGUGAAAACCUUAUCAAGAGACCUAUGCCUCCUCCUGUCUUGACCGAAUCAGAAAGAAAGGUUUCCCAUCAAAGGAGGGAACAUGUUGGUAAUUUCAUCAUAACAUACAGGUAA